CCUACGGGUGGCAGCAGUGAGGAAUAUUGGUCAAUGGACGAGAGUCUGAACCAGCCAAGUAGCGUGAAGGAUGACUGCCCUAUGGGUUGUAAACUUCUUUUAUAUGGGAAUAAAAUGUUCCACGUGUGGGAUUUUGUAUGUACCAUAUGAAUAAGGAUCGGCUAACUCCGUGCCAGCAGCCGCGGUAAUACGGAGGAUCCGAGCGUUAUCCGGAUUUAUUGGGUUUAAAGGGAGCGUAGGUGGAUUGUUAAGUCAGUUGUGAAAGUUUGCGGCUCAACCGUAAAAUUGCAGUUGAAACUGGCAGUCUUGAGUUCAGUAGAGGUGGGCGGAAUUCGUGGUGUAGCGGUGAAAUGCGUAGAUAUCACGAAGAACUCCGAUUGCGAAGGCAGCUUACUGGACUGCAACUGACACUGAGGCUCGAAAGUGUGGGUAUCAAACAGGAUUAGAUACCCCAGUAGUC
Molecule: ribosomal RNA, 460 nt
Filed under: uncultured bacterium
Lineage: Bacteria
Description: partial 16S ribosomal RNA
Rfam family: Bacterial small subunit ribosomal RNA
Source: RNAcentral